Molecule: long non-coding RNA, 3904 nt
Organism: Ostrea edulis (European flat oyster)
Lineage: Eukaryota; Metazoa; Mollusca; Bivalvia; Ostreida; Ostreidae
Exons: 2
Source: RefSeq, a predicted model, not a curated record
UAGAAAAAAGCUUUAAAAGAACCAUUGGGCCAAAGAAGUUGACAUUUACAUGAAAGCUUUCUGACAUAGUGUAGAUUCAAGUUUGCAAAGGGUAGUUUGGGCCAUAAUAGGGACCAAGGUUUUACAUGCAAAUAUAUAUGGAAAGUCUUCAGAUAUGGGCCAAGGUGACUCAGGUGAGCGAUGUGGCCCAUGGGCCUCUUGUUUUUUAUUAUUGAACUCGAGAAUGAUUCACUUAUAAGGAGACGUCAUUACUGUCGGUGAAGGGUUGUAAAAUUUAGGCCUAUGCUCGGCACUUACGGCCUUUGAGCAGGGAGGGAUCUUUAUCAUGUCACACCUGCUGUGACACGGGACCUAGGUUUUUGCGAUCUCAUCCGAAAGACCGCUCCAUUUAGUCGCCUCUUACGACAAGCAAGGGGAAGUGAGAUAUCUUAUUCUAACCCGGAUCCCAUAUAUUUUUACGCUAUAUAUUUAAAAAUAAUUCAUUUUUACUCUAGAAGUACUUUGGACAUAAACCCUCUAUUAUGGAUAUAGCAGAACAGUUUUAUAGUUAUAAAAACAACUAAAUAGGUCCAUAUAUCUCUGUGCAAUUCGCACCCUAUGAGAUCACAACGAAAAAGUACGUCACGACGUACAUCUAUAUAUGUUGUCGUUAUUGACUGCCGUUAUCAAGUGAUAAGCUGUAUAUACGUGAAAACAUUUCUUGUCAAAUGCUGGUCAAAUAAUAUAUUAUUUCAAUUUCGUAUCAAAUCACUUGAACAUUUUUUAUAUUUGCGCGAAGGUCAAAAUUCAUAUUGUGACCUUGAAAUCGCUCCUUUAUUUUCUUCCGAUCCCGUUCAUCACUAAAUUGUAAGAAAAUCUAAUUUACAUAAUUAUUGCGAGCAGAAUGUAAAGGGGGUAACGAUAUAUGGUGUAUAAAGUGUAUAUUUAUAUUCCUGUUACAAGAGGAAAUAGUUAGGACACACUUCUGACACAUAAAGAAACCGCAUCUGAUUAUGUCUAGCCUACUCUUGAAAAUGAAAAAGAGUAUGCUGCAUUAGAUGCAUUUUAAACUUUCCUUUAUCGGAGCACUUGCUCCCAAGACUAUUCAGUUAAUGUAAAAGUAACCUUUGUUUUUAAUGUAGAAGGGUCGGCCUGCAUUUAGUUAAUAUCGUCCCACUUUUGCGAUUAUUACAAUCAUUUUUGUUGGUUUUUUAAAUUCAUAAUGGCAUUAAAUAUUAUCCAUUUAUAAAAUCACUUAAAGAUUGUUUUAUGUAUUUUACUUUAUUUUUGUAUGGGGGCGCGUUAAUUCAAUGAGAAACAAUUUCUCGGAAUUAGUAAAAGAUCCAUUUCUAAGCUGCAUUCUUUGUUUUCCAUCUUGUUAGAAAGUUUGAGCAGACGUUUGUAUAUGUGUCAUGAUCUGAAAAGUAUCUUCCUGUUUGAUGAUUCACGUUAGAUUUGUCAGAGAUUUAUGCUAUUAUCUCCAAUUUAUUGGUAGAAAUCAGGAAAUAAUACUUAAUAACAAUUGUCAUCCGUGAUCUACUGUAAAAUAUCGAGUUUCAAAUCUAAGUGUACUGUUCAAGGCAAUACGAGGAUGUUACAUGUUUAUUCGUUAGAGUAUUGUACCAGCUUACAAUAAAAUGUAAUCUAAGUUGCAAGUCUGCAUCAUCACUUUCUCCAACUUGUUUUCAAAAACUUGUGCCAAUGAAAUGUAUACAUGUGCAUGUAUACAUGAUGUUUUACUUGAUUUAUUUUUGCGAAAGGGGUAUUGCACUUGCACUUGGUAUGCAAUUUCGCCUACAUAAAUACCUUUUUUCUUGAAUAUCAUUUUUUACAAAUAUUCUGCUAUACAAUGUCAGUUUAUGCUUGUGUUUACCCAAGUUACUUAAUAAAGAUAUCGAUAUGUUGAUAGUAUCUUUAUUUGAUAAGCACAAACAUCACCAUGAUUAUAUAGAGUAUAUAGUAGAUGUAACGUAAUGGGCAUAAAAAAUUGCAAACUCUUGCAAAAGGCCACCUUAAACCAGAAAUAAAACACUGAAAUUGUUUUACUUGAUUAUGACUGUAUAUAAGUCCGUUUGAGGAAAUUUGGUUUAAGGUGGCCCUCUUGUUGAAAAUGGAUAAAAUAUGAAAAAAUCGUUCUCAAAAUUUACCUUGAGAUUUAGCAACCUGUCAAACGUUAAACCUUUAAACUUAAAUGCCUGGGUGGCCUAGUGGUUUAGGUGCUCGGUAAUCUUACACUUAAACCAUACGUUCCGAGUUCAAGUCCAAUAUUUUUCCAAUAUUUUUUUUUUCCUUUUUCAUUUUUUGGGGUCGUUUUCUUGAAGGGGUGGGGUGUUUUAAAUGUGAUACAUAUAUCAUAACAAAUAUUAGUCAUUUUCAUCAUAACUUCUAAUAUUUGCAAGUUAUACGACUUAAAGAAUGGGAAUUUAUUCUGAGAUCAUUGUAGUUCCGCUUGUUUACACUAACAUGUUGCUGUGUGCACAGGAAUUUCAAACCGCAAUGUGGCUGACGAAAAGCUAAACAAAUACUACAAUACUACAAGAAAAAGGACACAAAUGCACAGCAUGUAAUAAGUAAAAAUAGGUCAAGGGAGGAAAAGAACUGUUAUACAGUUUGACUUCUCAAAAGAAAAUAUAAAAACUCAUGCAGCAAGUGUCAUAUGAUAUUUAGGCAAAGAUAAACACUCGAAUUAUCAACCAAAGGCAAAUGAACUGAUAACAUCUAUUAAAGGCGCUGCAGUCAUGUCAGAACAGUGAGUUAAGCAAUGCCAUAUGUAAAAGGGUUGUUGCACACGUCUAUGAAAAUAUUGUACUGUUCAUCAUUCCAAAUAGGAAAAUGGUUUAUUAAGUAAAGAACGACUCAUAUAAAUGUCAGUAAUGCUAAACUGCGGCAGUUAUUCAUCUUGGUUAACGAAACAUCAAAAACGUUGGCCUUAUAUUUAAAAUGUAAUUUUUGCAUAGAAAAAAUGUUUGUUUAUACACACUUUAUUGCUGUCAUCAUACUUUUAGCAGUAGGUAUAUUUAUGUAUCAUGAUGUCUAAUUCUAUCAGUUAUGAAAUGGAAGCAUUAAGCUUCCAUCUUCAUAGAACUAAGCUAAAGCAGUACUAGAUAUAUGAUAGUAUUCUAUAAUGAUAAGAUAAGACAGGAAGGCAGUAGUUUUACGACUAACAGUAGUAUCAUGAUACAAUCUGGUUCCAGCAUUAAUCUAUGGCCAAAUUAGGUAAAGGGUUGCAUAACUGACCAAGGGUGUAGAUCACUUGACCAGUGAUAACCAAUGAUAGCUCAGCUUCACUUACAGUACAUCAGUUCUUUGCUCACUGCCAGAAGUGCAACAGUGUGUUCAUUUAUAUAUUCCUCCCACCAUCCCCAACAUCUCCUUUUCUAUUCAUAAUCCAUUGGGGCUCUCGCACAAUAAUUGCCCGUUUUCCCCAAUUCAGAUAAAGCUAAGUAUUAGAUUAGUUCUAAGGGUCACCUCAACGGUGUCAACCUUAGGCAACAUGCUAGUACUAUGACAUUAAUUACCUCUAGUAGAACCCGAUGGUGUCAACCCGGGUACUAGUACGAGUGUAUUGAGUAUUUACCCGAUGGUGUCAACCCGGGUAUCAAUAGUCAGUAUUUACCCGAUGGUGUCAACCCGGGUACCAAUAGUUAGUAUUUACCCAAUGGUGUCAAACCGAGUUCUGAUGGGUUCCCCGAUAGGUUGGGUCAAUGAUGUCAACCCGGGUUCAGUAGGGAUUUCCCGAGUGUCAACCAGGAAAUUCAGCUUUGGGGUUUACAGAUUAUUUUAUCGUAGUGACGUGAGUAGCCCCCGAGAAGGCCAAAUAUGUAGUUAUGUUAGAUAUGUUUAUUAUUCUAUUGUACACUAGGUGGUAUACUUUAUUAAAUUGUCUGUAGAUACAUGUAUGAAUGUGAAUAAAUUGUGAAUGUUA